This 81-nucleotide transfer RNA is filed under the name Candidatus Campbelliibacteriota bacterium. Its description in RNAcentral is "Candidatus Campbellbacteria bacterium tRNA-Leu". It matches the Rfam family "tRNA". From Rfam's summary of the family: Transfer RNA (tRNA) molecules are approximately 80 nucleotides in length. Their secondary structure includes four short double-helical elements and three loops (D, anti-codon, and T loops). The record is from RNAcentral. Lineage: Bacteria; Candidatus Campbelliibacteriota.
GGGCCAGUGGUGGAAUGGUAUACACGCACGACUUAAGAUCGUGUCUCGUAUGAGAUGUGGGUUCGAGUCCCACCUGGCCCA